GACGAACGCUGGCGGCGUGCUUAACACAUGCAAGUCGAACGGAAAGGCCUCUUUCGGGGGGUACUCGAGUGGCGAACGGGUGAGUAACACGUGAGUAACCUGCCCUUGACUUUGGGAUAACUUCAGGAAACUGGGGCUAAUACCGGAUAGGAGCUCCUGCUGCAUGGUGGGGGUUGGAAAGUUUCGGCGGUUGGGGAUGGACUCGCGGCUUAUCAGCUUGUUGGUGGGGUAGUGGCUUACCAAGGCUUUGACGGGUAGCCGGCCUGAGAGGGUGACCGGCCACAUUGGGACUGAGAUACGGCCCAGACUCCUACGGGAGGCAGCAGUGGGGAAUAUUGCACAAUGGGUGGAAGCCUGAUGCAGCAACGCCGUGUGCGGGAUGACGGCCUUCGGGUUGUAAACCGCUUUCGCUCAUGACGAAGCUUUGUGUGACGAUAGUGGGUAAAGAAGCACCGGCUAACUACGUG
This 467-nucleotide ribosomal RNA is filed under the name uncultured bacterium. RNAcentral describes it as "partial 16S ribosomal RNA". It matches the Rfam family "Bacterial small subunit ribosomal RNA", at positions 28 to 507 of the family's 1533-position model. The record is from RNAcentral.